GGAGAGGUGGCCGAGUUGGCUUAAGGCACUCGCCUGCUAAGCGAGGGUGGGGUUGAAAGCUUCACCGCGGGUUCGAAUCCCGCCCUCUCCGCAA
Molecule: transfer RNA, 94 nt
Filed under: Bacteroidota bacterium
Lineage: Bacteria; Pseudomonadati; Bacteroidota
Description: Bacteroidetes bacterium (marine metagenome) tRNA-Ser
Rfam family: tRNA
About the family: Transfer RNA (tRNA) molecules are approximately 80 nucleotides in length. Their secondary structure includes four short double-helical elements and three loops (D, anti-codon, and T loops). Further hydrogen bonds mediate the characteristic L-shaped molecular structure. tRNAs have two regions of fundamental functional importance: the anti-codon, which is responsible for specific mRNA codon recognition, and the 3' end, to which the tRNAs corresponding amino acid is attached (by aminoacyl-tRNA synthetases). tRNAs cope with the degeneracy of the genetic code in two manners: having more than one tRNA (with a specific anti-codon) for a particular amino acid; and 'wobble' base-pairing, i.e. permitting non-standard base-pairing at the 3rd anti-codon position.
Source: RNAcentral